CCUACGGGUGGCAGCAGUAGGGAAUCUUUCACAAUGGGCGAAAGCCUGAUGGAGCAACGCCGCGUGCAGGAUGAAGGCCUUCGGGUUGUAAACUGCUUUUAUAAGCGAGAAAUAUGAUGGUAACUUAUGAAUAAGGAUCGGCUAACUACGUGCCAGCAGCCGCGGUCAUACGUAGGAUCGGAGCAUUAUCCGGAGUGACUGGGUGUAAAGAGUUGCGUAGGUGGCAUAAUAAGUAGCUAGUUGAAUCUGGUGGCUCAACCAUUCAGACUAUUAGCUAAACUGUUAAUCUCGAGACCGGUAGGGGUAACUGGAAUUUCUAGUGUAGGAGUGAAAUCCGUAGAUAUUAGAAGGAACACCAAUAGCGUAGGCAGGUUGCUGGGACGGUUCUGACACUAAGGCACGAAAGCGUAGGGAGCAAACGGGAUUAGAUACCCCUGUAGUC
This 442-nucleotide ribosomal RNA is filed under the name uncultured bacterium. RNAcentral describes it as "partial 16S ribosomal RNA". It matches the Rfam family "Bacterial small subunit ribosomal RNA", at positions 338 to 795 of the family's 1533-position model. The record is from RNAcentral.